CUUCUCCCAGAGAAGUUCGUAUCUUUCUUCGGUUUCUUUCACCUCCCGGAGCUUUUUCUUGUUAAUGCGUUCCGACAGACAUGAGGGAGGACUUUACGAGAGAUAGGAGGUGUGCGACUCGCCGCGUUGACUCGGGAGUCUUUAAAAGCUACAAAGGGUUGUGCAACAAAACGUGGCUGGCAAAGAGGAAGCUAUUCUUCUAUCAGCAGAGCUUCAAAGUGCACCAGGUUGCCAGAACAUGAACAUCCUUCCUGGUUGCAAGAAGCUGGAGCCUAUUGCAAGUGUCAUAGGACACCGAGCACACCCUGGACAGGUUGACAGUCUGAUUGAACAACAUCAAAAAUUACGUUUUUCUGAUA
Archocentrus centrarchus (flier cichlid) is the source of this 359-nucleotide long non-coding RNA. RefSeq lists it as uncharacterized. The transcript has 3 exons. The record is from RefSeq and is a predicted model, not a curated record. NCBI's taxonomy places the organism in Eukaryota, Metazoa, Chordata, Actinopteri, Cichliformes, Cichlidae.